RNAcentral lists this long non-coding RNA (1039 nucleotides) under Ursus maritimus (polar bear). RNAcentral describes it as "lncRNA (ENSUMAG00000016252.1)". The record is from RNAcentral. Lineage: Eukaryota; Metazoa; Chordata; Mammalia; Carnivora; Ursidae.
UCCCCUCACAGAACUACCAUCUAAGCCAACUACUUGUCAUUCCCUCAACACUUCUGGCCCUUUCCAGUCUCUAUGUUUGCUCACUCUGGUUUUGGGGGUGCCCUUCCCCCUUUUCUGCCUAAUUAAACCCUACUCAUUCUUCAGGGUCCAGUCCAAACAUCUUCUCUUCUAGGAAACCAUAUCUACAUCCUAAAAGAGCUCCUCCCCCUUACCCCACACUCCUCUUCAUAGCCUCUGCUGUAAUUAAGGACUUAGGGUCUCACCCCAACACUGCACAAAGGUGAUGUGGAUCAAAGAUCAUGCCUGGGAGUCAGGGAGAUUGAGGUUUGAUUCCUGGAUCAGUCACUUGUCAGCCCUAUAAUCUUGGACAAGUUGCUUGGCCUUCUCAAGCCCCCUUGUAAAAUGGGGGGGAAAUAGGACAAUGCUGAAAAGUAAAUGAGAGAAUGCUCAUUAAGCCAUCAGCACCAUGCUCCGUACACAUGAAGCUCUUAAUAAAUGUUAGUUGUUAUUACUGUCUCCGGCUCUCCUCCACCUUUAGACCCACCCCACAGUAGGCCAGCCAAGGUCUUGACCGGCUCAAUAUGUGAAAGGGGAAUUUUAUUGGACCAAGUCUCCAAGUUCCAGAAGUGAAGAGGCUUCCUCCUGAGAGAAGCAGAGAUGCUGAAAAGAGACCGGAAUUUCUGACAACCAGAGAUCCCAAGAAAGGAAAGGAUGGUUGGCCUGGGAUUGUGCCUCGACCCAGAAAAGCCAAUCUAGGACCUGUGCACGGACAAUCAGAUUUUCUGUGAAUUUGGAACUAGGAUGGGAGAUCAUUGAAGGUGAAGUUGCUAGACCUGUAAGGUCAUGCACAAGAAGUUGGCCUACAGACUCAGGGCGUGAUCCCGGCAUCAUGGGAUCGAGCCCCACAUCAGGCUCUUCCGCUAUGAGCCUGCUUCUUCCUCUCCCACUCCCCCUGCUUGUGUUCCCUCUCUCGCUGGCUGUCUCUAUCUCUAUCGAAUAAAUAAAUAAAUAAAAUCUUUAAAAAAAAAAAAAAGAACUC